AGAGUUUGAUCAUGGCUCAGAACGAACGCUGGCGGCGUGUUUAAGACAUGCAAGUCGCACGGGGGGGAUGAGUAGCAAUACGAGUUCCUUCAGUGGCGCACGGGCGAGUAACACGUGAAUUACAUGCCCUUCAGUGGGGGAUAGCCCAGGGAAACUUGGAUUAAUACCCCAUGGUAUCGCAAGAUUAAAGGCGGCCGCAAGGCUGUCGCUGAAGGAUUGGUUCGCGCCCUAUCAGCUUGUUGGUGAGGUAACGGCUCACCAAGGCUACGACGGGUAACCGGUCUGAGAGGACGAUCGGUCACACUGGAACUGAGACACGGUCCAGACACCUACGGGUGGCAGCAGUCGAGAAUAAUUCACAAUGGGGGCAACCCUGAUGGUGCAACGCCGCGUGGAGGAUGAAGGUCUUCGGAUUGUAAACUCCUGUCAUCGGGGAGUAAGACCUGGCUGUGAAUAGCAGACAGGGUUGAUAGUACCCGAAGAGGAAGGGACGGCUAACUUCGUGCCAGCAGCCGCGGUAAUACGAAGGUCCCAAGCGUUGUUCGGAAUCACUGGGCGUAAAGGGAGCGUAGGCGGCGUGGUAAGUCAGAUGUGAAAUCCCGGGGCUCAACCUCGGAACUGCAUCCGAUACUGCCAUGCUAGAGGAUUGGAGAGGUAGCUGGAAUUCUUGGUGUAGCAGUGAAAUGCGUAGAGAUCAAGAGGAACACUCGUGGCGAAAGCGAGCUACUGGACAAUAACUGACGCUGAGGCUCGAAGGCUAGGGUAGCGAAAGGGAUUAGAUACCCCUGUAGUCCUAGCAGUAAACGGUGUGCGCUUGGUGUGAGGGGAUUCGACCCCCCUUGUGCCGGAGCUAACGCGUUAAGCGCACCGCCU
Molecule: ribosomal RNA, 873 nt
Filed under: uncultured bacterium
Lineage: Bacteria
Description: bacterial SSU rRNA
Rfam family: Bacterial small subunit ribosomal RNA
Source: RNAcentral